This 2109-nucleotide long non-coding RNA is filed under the name Urocitellus parryii (Arctic ground squirrel). Its description in RNAcentral is "lncRNA (ENSUPAG00010012376.1)". Lineage: Eukaryota; Metazoa; Chordata; Mammalia; Rodentia; Sciuridae. The record is from RNAcentral.
GUUCUCAUAAUAACUCAGACUCAGAAAUGUUCCAAGCGGAGGGCCAGGAAGCAGCAGAGCCGGAUCAAAUGCAGUUCAUCUGAGGGAAAGCCUGGGAUCCAAGUCAUGGCAUUAUUCACUCCAAAAGGGCCGGGGCUCUGAUGAGGAAGGCAGUUGUUACAGUUCCAGGCUUUUAAUAGUCAAUUAUCAGCUUAGCAUCUUUUUUUAACUGUGCUUCUGACACAGAUUCACACCUGUGACCGGUGUGGACCCUGCCCAGCAGCCUCCACCCACGGUGGGUUUUAGACAUUGAAUCAGACGAAGCCCAAAUUAACUGGGUAUGUGCAGUACUGCAACAAACUACCUCCGGCUCUGCUUUGARAAAGCAUUGAUUAUUGAUCAAACCUAAGAUGAUUGAUCUUUAUGGCUAAUGUUCAUGUAGUAUAUAUUAUAAAUGAGGAUAACUAAAUGCACCGAAUUUAGAAGAUAGCAUUAUAGCUUCAUUUUAAGUGGCAAGAUCUUAUGACUUCUAAGUUACACUAUGAUGAGAAAUAGUAGCAAAAAAAARAAGAAGAAGAAGAAGUCCAAGCACAUCCUGGGCAUUGGCACAUCACUUCAUUGAACCUCUUGACCUCCCUAGGAAGGGAUGGUGACAGAUACUCCAGAAGUCAAUCAGCAGGAAAGAAGAUGUGAAAAAAAAUUAAAUAAAUAAAUAAAUAAUCAGUUCUCUUAAGUUGGAAACAGAGGCAGACUCAGAGCACCCACACAGGCCCUGGCCGGGCCCCAAGCAGCCUGCUUCCCAUCCUGAGAUCUGCAGGAGAGGGGGCGCUCCACCUGCUGGGGAUGGCACUGCCCUGGAACUGUAAGGGACAGUGCCACCGUCAAGGUCAGGCUGGAGGAGAAUGCCAGCUGACACCACAUCAGUCUAGUGAUCGAAGUAACGUCACCCAUGGGGAGGCUUGUCAACAUCACGUCCCCUGACACAGCCCACAGACAAGGCCACAUCACUCCAGUGGGACUCUUACACAAUGCACAGCCUCUGUCUCAUCAGGAGAAAACAUCAAACCAACUCAAAAUGAGCUGUAUCCAAGGCAAGGCAAGACUGAGAAACUGUGAGAGAUCAGAGGACUCCGAGGAGACCUGGCAACGGAUGGGAAGCAGCAUUCUUCUGGGACCUGGGAACACAGAGCUUUCUUCUGGAAACUUAGAAAGGUCCUCCACAGACAGGGCUAAGAAACUUGACCCAGCAGGAAGGAGAGGAGCCACCUCCCUAUCCUCCGCCCGCAGCCCCAGCUUCGUGGUACUCUGCUGCAGUCUGGGAAGAUGGCUCAUCACUCUUGCUUCUUGUGAAAGCAAAUGCAUUUGAAAAGAGGAUUCUGAACAGAGCUGAGACCCGAAGAAGAGUCCUGAACCUGGGGCUUCAGACACUGUUCCUGUUAGACACUGGCACCCAGAGGAACCUUCCUCUGCCCCCGAGAUCACUCUGUGGGAAAACCCACCUCCUCUGUCCUUGCCUAAAACCCAUCUCCUCAAAGGCCUGGGCAUUCAGUUGUGCCUGAGAACCAGGCGGUGUGGACAGGACUGCACGCCCUAGUGGGAGCUGCAGAACAUCACCCUUCAUUGAUCUGUUCUCUCUCCACCUGCUUAAUAGGCAUUAAAAGCCACGCUCUGAAGGGCUGCCUCCAGCAGUUUUCAGACGCAUUGACAUAAUGGACUUGUCUCCACAGGACCAACCCCUGGGGACUCAGGGCAGGMGAACCAUUUAUAACACUGUCACGUUGCCCGAGAGGCCGGUGGUGCUCUGGAAAGGGCUGUUGUUGGCGCUGAUGAGCGCUUGGAGUUCAAAUCCAGACUCCACUCUCUACCUGGCUGGAUGACCCUGGGCAGAUUACUGACCCUGCCUGUGCUUCCAGCCCUCUGUCUGCAGAUCGAGGUGGACAAUCCUUGUGCACUGAUUGUGAUUCUUGAUAAUACACUAUUUUAUCGUGAGUCUUGGUAACAUGAGAUAAUAUAGGCAUAUUCACAAAAGAAAAAGGUCAAGGACAAUAUUAACRUUGCUUACUGUGCAGCAGGCACUGUGGUCAGUGCUCAACAUACGUAAGUUAUUAUCAUCAUUCUUCUUAUUAUUAU